AACAAGGAUUCCCCUAGUAACUGCGAGUGAAGCGGGAAAAGCUCAAAUUUAAAAUCUGAUAGUCUUUGGCUGUCCGAAUUGUAAUCUAGAGAAGUGUUAUCCGCGCUGGACCGUGUACAAGUCUCCUGGAAUGGAGCGUCAUAGAGGGUGAGAAUCCCGUCUUUGACACGGACUGCCAGGGCUUUGUGAUGCGCUCUCAAAGAGUCGAGUUGUUUGGGAAUGCAGCUCAAAAUGGGUGGUAAAUUCCAUCUAAAGCUAAAUAUUGGCGAGAGACCGAUAGCGAACAAGUACCGUGAGGGAAAGAUGAAAAGAACUUUGGAAAGAGAGUUAAACAGUACGUGAAAUUGCUGAAAGGGAAACGCUUGAAGUCAGUCGCGUUGUCCAGGGAUCAACCUUGCUUUUGCUUGGUGCACUUUCUGGUUGACGGGUCAGCAUCAAUUUUGACUAUUGGAAAAAGAUUAGGGGAAUGUGGCAUCUUCGGAUGUGUUAUAGCCCUUGGUUGCAUACAAUGGUUGGGAUUGAGGAACUCAGCACGCCGCAAGGCCGGGUUUUUAACCACGUACGUGCUUAGGAUGCUGGCAUAAUGGCUUUAAUCGACCCGUCUUGAAACACGGACCAAGGAGUCUAACAUGCCUGCGAGUGUUUGGGUGGAAAACCCGAGCGCGUAAUGAAAGUGAAAGUUGAGAUCCCUGUCGUGGGGAGCAUCGACGCCCGGACCAGACCUUUUGUGACGGUUCCGCGGUAGAGCAUGUAUGUUGGGACCCGAAAGAUGGUGAACUAUGCCUGAAUAGGGUGAAGCCAGAGGAAACUCUGGUGGAGGCUCGUAGCGAUUCUGACGUGCAAAUCGAUCGUCAAAUUUGGGUAUAGGG
RNAcentral lists this ribosomal RNA (869 nucleotides) under Cortinarius sp. RNAcentral's name for it is "eukaryotic LSU rRNA". It matches the Rfam family "Eukaryotic large subunit ribosomal RNA", at positions 67 to 922 of the family's 3401-position model. The record is from RNAcentral. Lineage: Eukaryota; Fungi; Basidiomycota; Agaricomycetes; Agaricales; Cortinariaceae.